GGAUUAGCUCAGCUGGGAGAGCAUCUGCCUUACAAGCAGAGGGUCGGCGGUUUCAGCGCCGAUGGUAGUCGGGGGUUUCCCCCUGUGAGAGUAGGACGCCGCCAAGCCA
This 109-nucleotide transfer RNA is filed under the name Bacillus amyloliquefaciens. RNAcentral describes it as "tRNA-Val". It matches the Rfam family "tRNA", at positions 7 to 64 of the family's 71-position model. From Rfam's summary of the family: Transfer RNA (tRNA) molecules are approximately 80 nucleotides in length. The record is from RNAcentral. Lineage: Bacteria; Bacillati; Bacillota; Bacilli; Caryophanales; Bacillaceae.